GCAUCUCCGGUGCGGCGAACCGCCUCGCUGGCGUCGGCGCCCUCGCCCGCAUCCGCUGGUUCCGCGCCACCGAGAUGCU
This 79-nucleotide transfer RNA is filed under the name Sandarakinorhabdus glacialis. Its description in RNAcentral is "Polymorphobacter glacialis tRNA-Ala". Lineage: Bacteria; Pseudomonadati; Pseudomonadota; Alphaproteobacteria; Sphingomonadales; Sphingosinicellaceae. The record is from RNAcentral.